AGAGUGAACGCUGGCGGUAGGCCUAACACAUGCAAGUCGAACGGCAGCACAGGAGAGCUUGCUCUCUGGGUGGCGAGUGGCGGACGGGUGAGGAAUACAUCGGAAUCUACCUUUUCGUGGGGGAUAACGUAGGGAAACUUACGCUAAUACCGCAUAAAGACCUUCGGGUGAAAGCCGGGGACCUUCGGGCCUGGCGCGGAUAGAUGAGCCGAUGUCGGAUUAGCUUGUUGGCGGGGUAAAAGCCACCAAGGCGACGAUCCGUAGCUGGUCU
Molecule: ribosomal RNA, 271 nt
Filed under: uncultured soil bacterium
Lineage: Bacteria
Description: partial 16S ribosomal RNA
Rfam family: Bacterial small subunit ribosomal RNA
Source: RNAcentral